AACUCACCAGGUCAGGACACGGUAAGGAUUGACGACUGAAGGCUUCUUUCUCGAUUCCGUGGAAAGUGGUGCAUGGCCGUUUUUGGUUGGUGGAUCGAUCCGUCUGGUUAAUUCCGUUAACGAACGAGACCUCGGCACUCCGAAUAGCGCGGCGGACGUCGCGGCCUCCGGGCCGUCUUCCGCACGAGCUUCUUAGAGGGACCGUCCCCCGCCGGGGAAGGAGGUGCGAGGCAACGACAGGUCUGUGAUGCCCUUAGAUGUUCUGGGCCGCACGCGCAUUACACUGACGCGUCCAACGGGUGACUCCCGACCCGAAGGGGCCGGGGAAUCCGCAAGGCGCGUCGUGAUGGGGAUUGAACGUUGCAAUUGUUGUUCACGAACGAGGAAUUCCUAGUAGGCGCGGGUCAUCAACCCGCGCCGAUUACGUCCCUGCCCUUUGUACACACCAC
This 449-nucleotide ribosomal RNA is filed under the name uncultured eukaryote. RNAcentral describes it as "bacterial SSU rRNA". It matches the Rfam family "Eukaryotic small subunit ribosomal RNA", at positions 1212 to 1672 of the family's 1831-position model. The record is from RNAcentral.